CUUCUAUUUUUAGGACGUAAUCAUCCAAGUAACCUGGCCGUGUGACAACUCUUGUUGAUCUUCUAGGUAUUGGGCUAUCACUUUCUUCAUCUCCAUCGUCACUAUCUUCUUCAUCUUUUUCAGGUUCACUAUUUCCAGUCUCAGAUUCAGCGACUGUUACCUCUUUAUGAGUUGGUAACAUGAUCUCACACGUUACUCCAGAUGAUUUUCUCUCAAUUUUAUCCCAACUCCAAACCUUGCUUUCAUCGAAAACAACAUCGCGACUGACUACGACCUUGCGACUCCUUGGAUCAUAUAAUCUGUAUGCCUUUGUGCCUGGUUCAACCCCGAGAUGUACUAGCUCUCUAGACCUAUCAUCCAGCUUCUUAAGGAGAUGAGUGUCACGUUUAGCAUAACAUACACAACCAAAUAUACGUAGGUGCCCCACGUUGGGCUUCUUCUUCUUGAGACACUCAUAUGGACAUUGAUCCUUCAGCGUACGAGUAGCGACCCUAUUAAUCAGGUAGGUGGAGUGUCUCACAGCUUCUCCCCAUAAGUAGUGUGGCACAUUCAUAGCUUUCAUGAUACUUCUGGUCAUCUCCAUUAGUGUCCUGUUACGUCUCUCAACUACGCCAUUCUGUUGUGGAGAAUAUGGCGCGGUCAUAUGCCGUUUAAUCCCAUGCGUGUCACAAAACUCUUUGAACUCUCGAGACAUGAACUCUCCACCUCUGUCAGUACGUAACGUUUGAAUGGUAGCUCCGGUUUCUCUUUCAACGAUUUGCUUGAACUUCUUGAAGUGCUCAAGAGCCUCACUCUUUUCACUCAGCAAAAUUGACCACAUGUAUCUUGAAUGAUCAUCAAUCAAAACAAAGAUAUAUUUACUUCCUCCGGCUGUUGAUGGUAAGAUUGGUCCACAGAGAUCACCAUGAAGUAACUCUAGGACUUUUGUGGCACGGUAGGAGCUAACUUUAGGAAAAGGCGCUCUUGUUUGCUUUCCCAUAAGACAGGAGGCACAUGUUUCUUUCUCUAUACUGAUCUUUGGUAUACCAGUGAUCAACUCCUUGUUUAUCAUUGCCUUCAUGACAUCCACACCAACGUGUCCAAGCCUUCCGUGCCAUAGAGCCGAGUCACUAACCUUCUCAAGUUGGAGACACUCUGUUCCUUCAACCUCCAUUGUGAUCUUGUAUAAGCGAUUUUUUGAUCUUACUGAUUUGAGUAACACGUUUCCCUCUCGAUCACGGAGUGUUAGGUACUCCUCUCUCAUCUUAACCUCACAGCCAGACUCUGUUGCUUGACCAAGACUGAUUAUGUUACUCUUCAGUUCAGGUAUAUAAUACACAUCGGCCAAGACCUUCCGCUUUCUGUCUCUAGUAAUGAACAAAAUCGACCCCUUGCCUCUGAUGUCAAUCCUUGAGUCAUCUCCAAAGCGCACCUUUCCAGUAAUAGACUCAUCCAGACUUGUGAAAUAUUCUCGAUUCCCAGUCAUAUGAUUACUAGCUCCAUUGUCUAGAUACCAAAUAUUAUCCGCACCAGAUUGUGUCUCAAACUUACUUGGUACUACCUUCUCUUCGUUAAGAUAGAUCAGCUCAUGAACCAUCAGGUCUUCAGCCUCAUGUGUGUUGUCAUUCUCAGUUUCCUGCGCUUCCUGUAGUUUAAGUACUCGUUCAGGGCAGUCAUAGACGUAAUGUCCUGUUUUAUCACAGCGGAAGCAAACAACUCUGGAUGCAUCUCUCCCUUGCGUCCAAUCACCUGCUUGUCUCCAGUUAGUUCGACCAUUAUAUCGUCCUCUUCCACGUCCUCUGUUGUUAUAGCGACCACCUUGGCCUCUUCCUCUGCCAUAACCUUCUUGUUGUCCUCUAGGAUCAGUAUUAGUGUAUAGAAGUUUCCCUUGAUCAUCUUGUUGAUCAUCAUCCUGAACUCGUUCUUCAUAAGCCUUUAACCUUCCCACAAUAUCCUCAAAGCCUGUAGUGUUGAGGUCAAGCACUUGCUCAAGCGCAGCUACAAUAUGUAUGUAUUUCCUCUUUGGAAGACUGCUGAGGAAUUUUUUAACCAGCUUCGGUUCAUCAAGAAUCUCGCCUAAUGCUGCUGAUUUGGAGGAUAUCUCAGAAAUUUUACCAGAGAACUCAUCUAUGGUUUCUGUGUCCUUCAUCUUCAUCCUAUUGAACUCAUCCAUAAGCGUCUGUAACCUUGCCUCUCGGACCCUAUCAGCUCCUACGUUCCUUGCUUUAAUCGCAUCCCAAAUUUCCUUUGCGGUUGCUAACGUACCAACUUGAAGAACCAAACUUUCAGGGAUAGAUUGAAACAAGAAGGCUCGAGCCAUAUCACUUUUGUCUCCAUCAUCACCACCUGGAUCGAUUGCUUCCCAAACCUUAUGCACUUUGAGUAGAACGUUCAUACGCAUACUCCAAACCGUGUAGUUGGUGGUGGUGAGCAUCGGACAUUUGAUUGCCGAGGAACCAUUCUCUUUAGAUUUGAAAGGAGUUAUCGACAGAUCCGCCAUGUUUAUCUUCUCUUCUCGAACGUUUUUGAUUUCAAUAUUAAAGCUCUGAUACCAAUUAUUGAAACCAAAGAUAUGAACGUAGCUCAACAAUCAAACUCAAUAAUCUCAAACUCAAGAACUCUUUAUUGCCUUUAGAAAGUCUCAAAAACUAAAAGCUCUCAACACGUUAAGUUCUAUCACAUCAUGAUAGCUCCUUAUAUAACAACUCAUAGUUUCCUAAACUCAUUAGGAUAAACUUAACUAGAUAACUACAAACCAAGAUAUUCAAAUCCUAAUCUCAUUAGGAUAACAACAAGAUAACUUCAAGCUUAAGUUAUGUCAACAUUCUCCCCCUUAAGCUUGAUGUGUUCUUCCUUUACUUCUUGAACGCCAAUGAAGCCUCUCAUCUCUUUGAACUUGCAUCUCCCAAGUGCCUUAGUCAAGAUAUCAGCCUUCUGCUCCUUACCAGCUACAUGUUUCACGGUCACCAGCCCAUCCUCUACACACUCUCUAAUAAAAUGGAACCGUUUAUGUAUAUGCUUGCUCCUACCAUGAAACACAGGAUUCUUAGUCAAGGCUAUAGCGGAUUUGUUGUCAAUCAAUAUCAUAGCUUUGUUAGACUCGUCCACAAUCUCUCCUAGAAGCUCUUGAAGCCAAAUAGCUUGCUUUGCUGCCUCCGUCGCAGCCAUGAACUCAGCCUCGCAAGAAGACAGAGCCACGAUCUCUUGCUUCAUUGAACACCAGGAAACAGGGCACUCGUUAAAGUAGAAGAUAAAGCCGGUUGUGCUUCUUCCAUCAUUAGGAUCCACAUUGUAGCUGCUAUCACUGUAUCCUAUAAGCCCUUUCUUGUUCUCUUUUCUAUAAAACAAACCAAGAGAACAACUUCCUCGAACGUAUCUCAGCACUUGCUUUAACGCUACUGAGUGUGAGACCUUAGGAUUAUGCAUAUAUCUGCUCAGAACCCCUACACUGUAGGCAAGAUCAGGACGUGUAUGAAUCAAAUACCUAAGACACCCAACGUUCUUCCUAAACUCUGUCUCGUUGACGUCUUCUUCUUCUUCUGCCUUAGAUAGUUUUACGCCUGAGUCCAUCGGGAUUUGGACUGCAUUACACUCAUUCAUCCCUGCCUCUUCUAAGAUCUUUAACGCAUAUCGUUCUUGCUUCAAAACAAUGCCAAGCUCAGACUGGAUCACUUCGAUCCCUAAGUAGUAGGUAAGCUUGCCAAGAUCAGUCAUUUCAAAUUUUGCCGCCAUCUCUGUUUUAAACUCUCGUAUGAUCUCCACGCAAGAUCCAGUUACCAAAAGAUCAUCUACGUAAACAGCAACUAACAACUCACGCCCAUUCGUUCUUUUCUUGAAAAGCGAUGGUUCCUUAGAACACUUACUGAAGUUUAACUCUUUAAGAAUUGACUUCAGUUUGAUGUUCCAAGCUCUUGGAGCUUGUUUUAGACCAUAGAGAGCUUUAUGAAGCUUGUACACCUUAUCUUCGCUUCCUCUUUUCUUGAAACCAUCAGGUUGAGACACAUAUACUUCUUCAGCCAAAUCUCCAUGCAAGAAUGCUGUCUUCACAUCUAGAUGGUGAACUUCCCAUCCAUUGGAUGCCGCCAAUGCAAGUAUAACUCGGACAGUCUCUAUCCUUGCGACAGGGGCAAACACUUCUUCGUAGUCAAUACCAUGUCGUUGUACGUAGCCUUUAGCUACAAGUCUUGGUUUGUAUUUACUUAUACUUCCAUCCGCAUUGCGCUUUAUUUUAAAAACCCACUUCAAUCCAAUAGCUUUACAUCCAGCAGGAAGCUCAACCAGUGUCCAUGUCUUGUUCUUCUUUAUAGAAGCUAUCUCAUCUUCACAAGCUUCUCUCCAAACUUUCUCAUGCUUCGCCUCGUUCCAGUCCCAUGGUUCCUCAUUGAUGAGUAAAAGAAGUCUCUCAGUCUCGUCCACUUCUAUUUUUAGGACGUAAUCAUCCAAGUAACCCGGCCGUGUGAUAACUCUUGUUGAUCUUCUAGGUAUUGGGCUAUCGCUCUCCUCAUCCCCACUGUCACUAUCUUCUUCAUCUUGUUCAGCUUCACUAUCUCCAGUCUCAGAUUCAGCGACUGUUACCUCUUUAUGAGUUGGUAACGUGAUCUCACACGUUACUCCAGAAGAUUUCUUCUCAAUUUUAUCCCAACUC
Molecule: long non-coding RNA, 4624 nt
Filed under: Brassica napus (rape)
Lineage: Eukaryota; Viridiplantae; Streptophyta; Magnoliopsida; Brassicales; Brassicaceae
Description: long non-coding RNA (BNAP_LNC004077)
Source: RNAcentral